CCAACGUGGAUACACCCGGGAGGUCACUCUCCCCGGGCUCUGUCCAAGUGGCGUAGGGGAGCAUAGGGCUCUGCCCCAUGAUGUACAGUCCCUUUCCACAACGUUGGAGAUGAAGCUGGGCCUCGUGUCCGCGCCUGCAUAUUCCUACAGCUUCCCAGAGUCCUGUGGACAAUGACUGGGGAGACAAACCAUGCAGGAAACAGCC
RNAcentral lists this small nucleolar RNA (205 nucleotides) under Sapajus apella (tufted capuchin). RNAcentral's name for it is "Cebus apella (Tufted capuchin) Small nucleolar RNA SNORA73 family". It matches the Rfam family "Small nucleolar RNA SNORA73 family". Rfam says of the family: U17 (SNORA73A and SNORA73B) also known as E1 belongs to the H/ACA class of small nucleolar RNAs (snoRNAs). Vertebrate U17 is intron-encoded and ranges in length from 200-230 nucleotides, longer than most snoRNAs. It is one of the most abundant snoRNAs in human cells and is essential for the cleavage of pre-rRNA within the 5' external transcribed spacer (ETS). Lineage: Eukaryota; Metazoa; Chordata; Mammalia; Primates; Cebidae. RNAcentral also lists the same sequence under 1 other name. The record is from Rfam by way of RNAcentral.